UGAGGAAUAUUGGUCAAUGGACGAGAGUCUGAACCAGCCAAGUAGCGUGAAGGAUGACUGCCCUAUGGGUUGUAAACUUUUUUUAUACGGGAAUAAAGUGAGGCACGCGUGCCUUUUUGUAUGUACCGUAUGAAUAAGGAUCGGCUAACUCCGUGCCAGCAGCCGCGGUAAUACGGAGGAUCCGAGCGUUAUCCGGAUUUAUUGGGUUUAAAGGGAGCGUAGGCGGACGCUUAAGUCAGUUGUGAAAGUUUGCGGCUCAACCGUAAAAUUGCAGUUGAUACUGGGUGUCUUGAGUACAGUAGAGGCAGGCGGAAUUCGUGGUGUAGCGGUGAAAUGCUUAGAUAUCACGAAGAACUCCGAUUGCGAAGGCAGCCUGCUGGACUGUAACUGACGCUGAUGCUCGAAAGUGUGGGUAUCAAACAGG
This 424-nucleotide ribosomal RNA is filed under the name Fusobacteriota bacterium. RNAcentral describes it as "Fusobacteria bacterium partial 16S ribosomal RNA". It matches the Rfam family "Bacterial small subunit ribosomal RNA", at positions 355 to 776 of the family's 1533-position model. The record is from RNAcentral. Lineage: Bacteria; Fusobacteriati; Fusobacteriota.